UAAGGAAUAUUGGACAAUGGGCGAAAGCCUGAUCCAGCCAUGCCGCGUGAGUGAUGAAGGCCUUCGGGUUGUAAAGCUCUUUUGUCCGGGACGAUGAUGACGGUACCGGAAGAAUAAGCCCCGGCUAACUUCGUGCCAGCAGCCGCGGUAAUACGAAGGGGGCAAGCGUUGUUCGGAAUCACUGGGCGUAAAGCGUGCGUAGGCGGCAUUACAAGUCGGAAGUGAAAUCCCUGGGCUCAACCCAGGAACUGCUUUCGAAACUGUUUUGCUUGAAUCCGGGAGAGGUUGGCGGAAUUCCAAGUGUAGAGGUGAAAUUCGCAGAUAUUUGGAGGAACACCAGUGGCGUAAGCGGCCAACUGGACCGGUAUUGACGCUGAGGCACGAAAGCGUGGGGAUCAAA
RNAcentral lists this ribosomal RNA (400 nucleotides) under uncultured bacterium. Its description in RNAcentral is "bacterial SSU rRNA". It matches the Rfam family "Bacterial small subunit ribosomal RNA", at positions 355 to 772 of the family's 1533-position model. The record is from RNAcentral.